RNAcentral lists this transfer RNA (73 nucleotides) under Merluccius polli (Benguela hake). Its description in RNAcentral is "tRNA-Arg". It matches the Rfam family "tRNA". From Rfam's summary of the family: Transfer RNA (tRNA) molecules are approximately 80 nucleotides in length. Their secondary structure includes four short double-helical elements and three loops (D, anti-codon, and T loops). Lineage: Eukaryota; Metazoa; Chordata; Actinopteri; Gadiformes; Merlucciidae. The record is from RNAcentral.
GGCUCUGUGGCGCAACGGAUAGCGCGUUGGACUUCUAAUUCAAAGGUUGUGGGUUCGAGUCCCACCAGAGUCG